GAUGAACGCUGGCGGCGUGCCUAAUACAUGCAAGUCGAGCGAACGGACGAGAAGCUUGCUUCUCUGAUGUUAGCGGCGGACGGGUGAGUAACACGUAGAUAACCUACCUAUAAGACUGGGAUAACUUCGGGAAACCGGAGCUAAUACCGGAUGAUAUUUUGAACCGCAUGGUUCAAAAGUGAAAGACGGUCUUGCUGUCACUUAUAGAUGGAUCCGCGCUGCAUUAGCUAGUUGGUAAGGUAACGGCUUACCAAGGCAACGAUGCAUAGCCGACCUGAGAGGGUGAUCGGCCACACCGGAACUGAGACACGGUCCAGACUCCUACGGGAGGCAGCAGUAGGGAAUCUUCCGCAAAGGGCGAAAGCCUGACGGAGCAACGCCGCGUGAGUGAUGAAGGUCUUCGGAUCGUAAAACUCUGUUAUUAGGGAAGAACAUAUGUGUAAGUAACUGUGCACAUCUUGACGGUACCUAAUCAGAAAGCCACGGCUAACUACGUG
This 497-nucleotide ribosomal RNA is filed under the name uncultured bacterium. RNAcentral's name for it is "partial 16S ribosomal RNA". It matches the Rfam family "Bacterial small subunit ribosomal RNA", at positions 28 to 507 of the family's 1533-position model. The record is from RNAcentral.